Molecule: ribosomal RNA, 267 nt
Filed under: uncultured Lactobacillus sp.
Lineage: Bacteria; Bacillati; Bacillota; Bacilli; Lactobacillales; Lactobacillaceae
Description: partial 16S ribosomal RNA
Rfam family: Bacterial small subunit ribosomal RNA
Source: RNAcentral
ACGUAGGUGGCAAGCGUUGUCCGGAUUUAUUGGGCGUAAAGCGAGCGCAGGCGGAAGAAUAAGUCUGAUGUGAAAGCCCUCGGCUUAACCGAGGAACUGCAUCGGAAACUGUUUUUCUUGAGUGCAGAAGAGGAGAGUGGAACUCCAUGUGUAGCGGUGGAAUGCGUAGAUAUAUGGAAGAACACCAGUGGCGAAGGCGGCUCUCUGGUCUGCAACUGACGCUGAGGCUCGAAAGCAUGGGUAGCGAACAGGAUUAGAAACCCGGGU